AGCAUGUAAUACCUGAACAGAAAGAACAGAAGCAAGUGAUCCAGCUUGAAGUGACAUUUCCUAGUUAUCUAGAAAGUGGUGCAGGUUGAUCUCACUACCACCUUUACACCUCUCAUUCCAGAUCACUUGGUCCAGAUUAAAGAGGAUGAUGGUGAGGGAGCAUUCCCAGGACUCCACUCCCACCAGGCACAGUGGAUGCUGAAGGUCCAACAUCUGCAUGAUGGAAAGGCAAGCCCCAACUGACAUUGCUUCCAAAAGUGAACGUGAAAAACAGCAGCGUGAGAGCCAACACUGGGUGCAUUGAAAGCACAACAUUGGGAGGAACUGAGGACCUCCUAUUUCCACUGAGUCCUUUUCCUUCCUCCAGCAAAACCUGGGGCUCGUCUCUGUCCCUGCACACCUGGACUCUUCUGUGAGCCCCUUCAGUAAGGGCUUUCAUGCAGCCUUCUAGAUGGAGCCCCAUGUCAUUCUGUGAUUUUGUAACAUGGAAUCCAUGAAGUGUGACCUUGUUUGAAGAAGUCUCAGUUGUGAAAGCGCCUCAUUGAGACACCAGCACCGCUCAGCACACCUGAUUGUAGCAGAACAGUGAAUGCUCAGAUCUGCACGUGGCCGACUGUAACUGAGGAGUUAGGAAUAACAGGGCAGGGAAACGCAGCGCAUACAAAGGUAGGAGGAAAUAGUCUUGCAAAGCAGACACACUUAACUAACUCCUGGUGAAGACAAAUAUUUUUCUGUACACAACAUUGUAGUUGUAAAAGAACCAAAACCUAUUGGAAUAGGCUAGCUUAUGUUGAGAUUUUGCAGCUGCUGUGAUUUAAGCAUUUCUUUUUAAUGAUUGUUUUUUUUCUAGCCUCCUGGAUCCUAGUAUGCAACUUUGGGUAUUUGUAGUGCAGGCAGCACUUUAGAAGGAGCAGAGGAAAUUUGACCUUGGCUUGAAAACUUGCUUUUUAGGAAUGAGGCAAUUAACUGCAGUAAUUAAGCUCCCUACAUUGGAGGAGUCUUCAACAGUAAUAUUUCCCUUAUGAAAACAGAUCCAAAGAAGACCCAAUUAGAUCAGUCCAUGUAAGUUAAAUCAUUGAAAUUAAAGAAAAUUUGAAACGAGCCAGAGGACAGCACAGAAAUUUGCUCUUCUAGGAGCAAAAUAGGAGGUGGUCGAAGAUCACAGGAACCAAGGAUCACAAACAUGGGGAUGAGCAGACCUAGGGAGGUCAGGUAGCCCAUCGCUGACCGAUUGACCUCCUGAAAACAAAGCAGUUUGUUUAUCACAGGAAAAGCCAUAGUUUUGUCAGGGUAAACAUUAUAAAACUUGAGGCUUGUGAUUUAGUGUCUGAUCUUACAGCUGAGUGAUUUAUAUUUCACCCAUGUGCUCGUUAGGAAUACCAGCUCAGCUGCCUUCUGCAGGGUCAGGGCCUGCAGUAAUUGAGUAUUAAAUGCAUCAAAUACACAUUCAUAACUUGGUGUAUAGGAGGGCAUGGCUGCAGCCCUGAAGCCGGCAGGACCUAAAGCUAAAGGAAACAACUAAAGAAAACUCCAGGAAACCACUAAAUGAACCCUUUGUGUCCCAGAAAAUAAGCUGGUAAUUUAAGGCACACUUAAAGCUUUAAAACAGUUUCGCAGCCUCAGUUUUGGGAACGUGCUGAGUAUGGCUAUGCACAGUGCCCCCUCUUGAAAUCAUCCCCUUUCUCAGAUGUCUCAGCUUUGAUUUGAAGAAUAGUAUUUCCUCAUUUAGCCCUUUUUCCUAGUUGCUGUGCUAAAAUUGUGAGUACUUGGUUCAGUUUUGUUACUAGAGAUGUGAGCAGUGUUUGUCAGGCUCUGUGGCUUAGCCUAAGGCAACAGUGUCAACAGCAAAUUGUCACUUUGCAGCCAAUAUUGAGUGCUAACUCCGAGAAACUGCAGGAGUGCCAGGGCAGAUUAUUAAUUGUGAGUAUACAAAACAAAUCUUGAAGGAAGAGCGUAUCGUAGUUUAACAAUGCCUGGUUGCUAAAUCUGUAUUUGCUGAUUGCACACACAAAUGAAGAAAGCAUUGCAACAGCACCAACGUUUUCAACAAACCAUCUGUGUCAGCAGGCCUGUUUGCUGCUGGAUCCAGUCUCUGCCCUCCCACCACGUUGCUGCAUGCACCAAGGUCCAGGCAGCGUUGUGGAGGCUGAAACAUGCUGCAGGCUUCGGCACGAGGAGCCAGGUGGUGAUGCUUGGGCUCGGUGGUCCCCAAGAUCUUUUCCAACCUUAAUGAUUCUAUGAUUUAUGGCCCCGUUGAUUUCACUGUCGACUGCCUUGAAGACUGGGAUUGUGAGCAGUGAUUCAUUCAUCCUCCAGUUCUUCCCAGUCCCGUGGGAGCUGUGAAAGCUUGUUUCAGUCCCGUUUCCUGAAGGCAAAAGUGGUGUUUGGGGCAGGUUGCUGGGCUGCGCUCUGCUGCUGGAGACUGAGUUGUUAUCUCCUGGGUGUAACCUUGGCAGUGUUAUCUGCCUGAAAAUCCUAAGGCUUCAGCUCCACAGUGCUGUGACUUCUGUGAGGAGGGCAGUGGAUGUGCAGCCAUCUGUGAGAAAGAUUCCCAGGGAAUAAAGGCCGGCAAUGCGCUGAGCAGAGCACUGCUCUUUCAGGUUUUGACACAGUAAACUUGUAAGAAACUUUGGUCUGCCUAUUGGGCAGAGAAAAUGCAGUAAAAAGGGCACCAGGUCUGGGAGGACAUUGAGCAGAACCAGAAAUGAUGCUGAGAGAGUUGGGGAUAGAGGCAGGAUGGUCGUUUUUGGCAGAUCUACACAAAGAGUCACUUGAGAGCAAGCUUGUAUUGAGGGGUUUUCUUCUGCUGUUACACUCACAGAAAAGCAAAGUCUGCAAAGUGUGGAAGCAGAAACCUGGAGUUUGUGUUUUCUGCUCCACUGUAUGCUCAAAACCUCUUCUGCAAACUCUAGAUUAUUAUCAGCAGUUUUAGAUUCCUGGCUUUGCUUUUUUUUUUCUGUGGGACAAAGUGAUUUACAAAACCACACAACUAAUGCUCAGUUCUCAAUGUCCAUACUGUACCCAAGAGCUUUUCCAUGCAUGUCUUGCUUAAAGCAUCACUGCUGCCUGUGGAUCUGCCUUCUGUCCCUUCACUUACCCAGGGAUGUUCAAAGCCAUGGCUCUGGGCUGGUGAGCCUCCUCCUCACCCUUCCUUGCUGUGGAAUUACCAAAGUGCCAGCCUGCUAGUGGUAAUGACCACCAAUGUAAUUUUAUUUUGUGCCAGUUCAUCACAAAGCUUACAGCAGAUAGGGAACUCGGGAUGCUGGCAAUGUCUUUUUUGCUUUUUCAGUCAAAAUAUUUGGCCUCUGUAAUAUUUUUAAUAACCAUGACAGAUCUAUUCGAGUAUGCUAAUGCACUGCAAACAAUCUGAUUGCUGCUCUCUGAGAGGAGUGGAGCAAGGCAUAGUAACAGGCUGCCUUUAAGGGGAGAACUUGCAAGUGUAGAUUCUAGGGGGAAAAUACCUCCACUCUGAGUCACAUCAAGGCACCUUUGGUGACUGAGUUACACCUUCAGCCAAGGGGUGGCCAGGGACAGUGCCACCUUUUAUGAAAUUUAAUGGCACAGAAGAAAAUGUCAUUGCAAAUGUUCCUUCCUUCUUUAAAGAGAAAAAAUACGGUCCUGGCUCCAGGAUGAGACGAGCCUUGUGUCUGCCUGCAGCUUGGCUGCAAGAGGGGGAGAAGGAAACAUGAAUGCUUUGGGUUUGCUGAUCGCAGCUCUCCUCCACGUCACAUAGCAGAGCAAGGGUUGGAUGUGAGAGCGUCUGUUUGGCCCCACUCACCUCUGAUGAAUCUAUUUGCUUUCUUAUUUCCUAGAAAAAUCACGGUAAGACUUAUAAAACCACUAAUUGUUUGUUUCUUCUCUUUUUUGGUGAUGUAAACACUCUCAUGCAGUGGAGAAAAGUCAUCCAAAAUUGCAGUUAUUAACAAUGCGUGGAAGGACUCCGAGGGACACGUUCCCCAAAUGCAUUAAGGGUCAGUUCUUGUUCACCAGCAGGUUGUAUGUAAAUCGAGUGUCAGGAUAGUUGAUCUGAGCUCUCAAAAACAAAGUCUGCCCCAAAGCACUCAUUGUUUAGAGUGUAACUAGAAGCUGGAAGAAGUGUGAUUUCUCAGUUUGCCAAGGGAAGCAACCUCUCCCGAUCCUGUACGGGGGCCAGGGUGGGAUGUUAUUACGUGGCUUCAUUCUCAAAAGCAGGAUUUUUAUCUGUUCCUUUUCCUGAGUUCAGUUUUCUCUUUCCAUUUUAUGUUCCCUAUUAUUUUACAAAGCAGUAUACUUGGCAUCUGCUGUUAGAUGGCAGAUAUUUGAAAGAAGCGUCACGGCUGUUCACUGCAUUGUGGCAUUUUAUUUGAAUGCUUGGUGGUUGUGGAUUGCAUUGUAGAUAUGUCACAUGAACUGACUUCUCAAGUUUUCCAGGACAAAAAUUAAAUUGCUAUGGCUUUCCAGAUAAGAGAAAAGAAGAAAACUUCAUAUUUUUUCCUUUCAGUUUCUUCUUGACCAUGGCUUUGCUUAAUGGUGCAGAUGCAGAACCUUGGUUUUUGACUCAAUCAUAGUAAAAGCGUGUUUCUCAUAAUGUUGUGUGAGCAGGAUUUGGUUCAAAACUGCUAUUCCUGAGACAAGCUCUCACUAAGUGCUGCAGGAUGUCCCAUUAUCAUUACCAGCCUUUUGUGGUGGGACUCAGCAUUAAAAAAACCUUCCCAUGUUUUGCUGCAAUAGAAUUACUCCAAGAAGUUUCUCUUCUGGGAAGAACUUUAUUUCCUCUGUGUCUGAAAGAGUAUUUAGAAUUCUGUGAAUCUGUUUAAUAACUCCAAAGUUAUUUAAGCAUUCCUGAAGCUUCAAUUGGAUGAAUUAACAAGAUAAUGUUAUCAAACUGUGAGGCUCUUGUGCUGAAGACGGGAGGAAUAUAAGAAGUAGAGACAGAGGAACAGGUGGGGAAAACAAAACACUGAAGGAAGCAGUGGAUAUUCUAGGGAGCCUCUUAAGUGAGCUUGAUUUCACCCAGCCUCUGUGCAGGGUGUGGAAUGCACAAGCAGAGAACGAAAGGAAGGUGAAGCUGGAGCAUGCAGUCAUUCAUAUAUGGAGCACCUGAGAGGGAAGUACUCCAGCAGCUUGGAGGCAUCACCAGGCUGGGCUGAUGGGAACCACUGGGAUGGUUCUAGAGACAAAGAGGUGCAGGUGCUGGGUGGUGUGAGCUCUUCCCUGAGUUCUUUCUCUUCAGACACUUUGGUUCUGUUAAAGAAAGAUAAAGAUAAAGCAAAUGAUUCGUUAUAGCUUUGGAGGAUGUAUGAAGUCCACAGAAAAGGCCCAAAGCCAGCACAGGACGGUGUGAUCUGUCUUACUCAUUCAAGUGAAAACAUGGUAAGUGUGCCCAGUUAUGGUAAAGGUUAACGUUGCUGGGAAUCUCAUGAUGCAGCAGUGUGAGGUGAGGCUGCAGCCUUCUUGUGUCACUGUGCUGCCCUGCUGUGAGGUGCUGAGAGGAUGCCAUGAUUCAGGCUUUGCCUAAACGGAUGUUCAUCUAUGAAGACAAAAAUGUGAGGUUGUACAAACAAAGCAUAACUUCCAGCGAGAAGCAUUCAGAACUUUUGUUUCACCUGUGUGCUUGUGCUCAAGCAAAGCCAUUUUCAAAGAAGAUUUUACUCAGUUCCUCCUUCCAAAGGAACCAUCCAGAGCCCAUUUUGUAGAUGGAAGAGAUGUGCUUUGCUGCAGGUAGGUCACAUCAGUUAGCAAACGGGUGACAGGUGCAGCAUGACUUCCCUUACCUCUGUGAGCCAGGGAAGGACAGCUGGCUGGGGGCAUGCACUGGCAUCACAACACAGUUUGAAGGACGGGAAAUCCUGUAGGUGUCACGAGAACCAAAAGCUCUUAAGAUCAAAUUUUUCAAAGCUAACAAAGCCACAAUGACUCUUCAUUGAAACUUUGGCCUUUGGCCAUUGAUGCUUUGGGAUGAUGUCAACUUUAACAUACAUUUACUCAGUAUCAGUUACUUCUGUGCACAGCAGUGCUGUCGUUUCCGUAGUGCCAGGAAGUGUGAUUGUGAUAUUUCAGUUAGUCACCCAUACUACCUGUACUUAUGUGGAAGAAUAUGAAUCUGCCUGGUUUUUUCCUAAUGCUGUGAGCAAUAUUUAUGAAGUUGUUCAUACUUCGAAACCGUGAGCUGGUGAACUCAGAGAUAUAAAAAUGCACAGCAUUGUAAUUUCUGUGGAAUGAAAAUGUGAAAUCAAGUGUUGAGUAAGAUGCUUUUAAAGGAAACAAUAUAUUUUCUGCACUAUAGUACAAGUUGUUUUCUUGCUGCACAGAAUAAUUUUUCAUUCACUUUUUGAAGGAAGUAAAGCAGAAAACUGUGUUUUACAGCCCCCCCUCCAGCCGCUCGCUUAAACAAAUGCUUCGGCAGAAUGCCUGGUCCUCAUUUUAUUCUUGACUGUUGGCUUCUGAAUUUUUUUCCUUCCCUCUCCAAGGUAUUCAGACAGAUAAAUUGCUGGUUUGCAACUCUGCCAAUUAGGUGUGCUUUUUUUGCUUUUUUUCUCUUUUUUUGCUGAAUGUCCUACUCGCUUCUUGCAACGUUUCUCACAAUGCCUCUUUCCUGGGAUCAUGAGACAGAGCAAAGUUUUGUGCUUUCAGGGGUAAAACUGAGUAUGUGGAAAGGACUCAAAAUUAUUGGAAUGUUACUGGUUUUAUUUUGGAAAGGCCUCAAUCCAGUAUGAAUACUUAACACAUGCUGUCAGCUACAGGUAUAGAAUAUUCCUUUCUUUACUAAACUACUGAAUGUAACCACAUCACACUUGUCUUUGCUGGGCUCUGUGAACAGUCUGUGCACACACACUGAAUUUUGGGAACACCUGGAGUGGAUAAAAUACCAAAUGAUGCUGUGCCACCUGCCAGAAGUGUUGCAGUUGGAAUAAGAAGUCAUGGAAACACUGGAGCUCUGGAACAAAAGGGAAGUGACCACCAGUCAGGAAAGUGAAGAAUUGAUAGCAGCGUGUCUUCUAGAAUAACAAUUGCUGGAUAGGAGUGUGUGAAGUGGGGCAAUACUUAUUGGGGUGUUAUCAGGAAAGAGCCCUUUCUCUGCAGAGCACUGUAUGUAGGUGAACAGAUCCCAGGUAGGAGGCUGCACAGUGGAAGAGGAGUUCCAAACAAGUCCCAGGGUCAGACAUUCAGUAAGGGAGUGAAUCCCAAAGCUCAGGAAACAAUGGUGCUGUGGAGCAAAGCUGUUUGCUUGGGAAGUUCUGCUCAGCUCUGGGCUGCAGUCUAAGGAGAGAAGGAAAAAACCCCAAACAUGUUACCCUUGUCUUGGAAAAUCUCCAGUAAAGUUCAAUUACUUCAGGGCAGAGGAAGUGCCUGAAGAGGAACUGCUGGGUGUGCAUAAACUCAUAAAAUACCCCCUCCUUGAUGGGGGAAGGGAAAGGAGUUUGAAAGGAGGUCUGCAUUUGGAAUAUAAGUUAACAAGGGAGAAAAGUAAAGACCUCAGUGUGGUAACCACGAGGAUUGACGCUGCAGUUAGAAAGAAGAGGUUCUUGCUGGUGGCUCUGUGCGUGUCACAGCCUGCUAGGCAAAUUGCUGGGUGGUGGUAAUAACAGACAUCAGCUUCAGAAUAUCUGCGGGUGAACUGUGUGCAUUACACUUUUAUGGGGCUAUGAGAGGCAGCCUGCAAGGCCUGCGAUGGAGUCAGCAGGAAGCAGUUGCUUUCUCCCAUCCUGUCUGUGUUUCCAAAGAGCGAAUGGUCGGGCCUUGGUGACAGCCCUGGUGCACGGUUAUUCUGCCCGUCUGCAGGCUCUAAGCUGUCGACCAGUCUCUAAUACAACAGCUUCUUUGUUUUGUUUUGUAUCUUGAGUUCUUCCCAGGUCAAAGAAUCCAGACAGUAAUGCUAAAAAAAGCUGAUGGAAAGUGCUGAAGGAAGCAGCACAUCGUGAGUUACAUGUUCUUACACACUCACUGCAGGCAUUUUUCUUACAUAUUACCUGAGUAGAUUUUGCUGUUGGAGAUACGGCUCGAUAUCCACUUCCCAUAGGAGAUAUCUAGAGCCUUAAAGUAAUUUGGGGAAAUAUGGAGAGCAGUGUUCCUUGAUGUUUUUACUCAGAAAGAAGAGCAAUAAAGGCGCAACAUGCGGUUCUGUGGUCUGACUCAGCUGACAGGGAGGAGGUGUUUGCUUUGGCAGAGUCGUUUUGUUGAACUCUGGGAAGUUUCUCAGGCCAAAAUCUUUGGUCUCCCAUAGACUUGUGGUUCAGAAAUGCUUCCUCAGCCUUUUUUCAGCUUUCUCUGAUGUAAAAGAGUUUACAGAAAUUAGACAUGACUUAAGGAGAUGGUACAUGGGUCCAACAAUUUCUGAGUGAGGCAGGAAGAGCACAGGACACAGGGAGCUUUGUAAUAACACAUUCCUUAAUGCACAGAGUGAUUUUAAAGUGUUUAUAUGCCUGUGUGUGACAGAUCUUUUAUAACAGGUUGCUAACACAAGCUUGGGGCAAAGCAGAAGAACUUUUUCCAGAGCAUGCCUAAUAGUCUAACGAUGGUGAAGUGAAUUCAGUCAUGGUGAAUACAGUCCCCGCUUUGUAAUUUGGUCAGUAUUUUUACUGAAGACAGUAAUAGCUUAGAAGAACCAAACUCUGAAAGCUAAUCGUUGGUUCACGUGAGUAUUUACUAUCCAGAGCGUUCAGCAAACUUGAUUGAUCUGAGCAAUGCAAAGAGGUGAGGCCACAAGUACAAGAAUUUUAUAGCAUCUAUAAAGUACUGUAUACAGUUUUUGCUCUAUUUUAUGCUGUUAAACUAAACAUUUGGUAUCAUAUGGCACUUUAAGCACUUUGAUUUAUGUUAAGACAGAAAUUGCAUCUGUAAUAAACAUUCUAAAGUAUGAGUUUAAGAGUAAUCUACUGCAUUUAUUUGUGGCAUAAACUCUCACCAGCAGUGCAUUUAAGAAUCGUCUUGGGCUGAGCUCACGCUGCACGUUACAGCCACACUGCACUUCAGCCUCAGCAAGGUCACAUCCAAGGUGAAGUCUGAAUGGGAAUAAAGGGGUGGCAUGGUAAUAUUAUGUAGCAGCAAACAGAAAAAUACUCGCCUUCUCCUGUUAAAUAUUCCAGAUACAGUAAUUUUUACUUUACUGUAAAGAAUCCUAUGUUUUACCAAGCAAGAUAGAGUACAAAUGCAUCUUGUUUGAUAUGAAAAUAAGCACUCGGGAAUGAAAAUAGCGUGAAAAACCAUCUGACAUAUUUGAGAAUAAAUGCCAUACAAUUGCUUGUGUUUCAGGUCUGUUCAAUUUCCCUCAAGGAUGAAUGAAAGCACAGAUAUCCACUGUUGUACUGGAACCUGCCAUGGCUGUGCACCAUGGGAAGAAUUCUCCUACCAUUACACUUACUAAUUUGAUAUUGAAUCAAUUAUACUUGGUGGAACCUGCUUAAGAAUAAUGAAGAAAAGGAAGGAUACUCAGUCCUGUAACGUUGCUGUUACAUAUUGACUGAACAGUGACACAUCACAAUUCUUAUGAUCUUGUAGAUAUCCUUGGCGAUACAAUUGAUCAAUAGUUACAGGAGACAUUUUCUGUUGGAUCCUGCAGUCAGAGUGCUGGUAU
Lagopus muta (rock ptarmigan) is the source of this 9553-nucleotide long non-coding RNA. RefSeq lists it as uncharacterized. The record is from RefSeq and is a predicted model, not a curated record. The transcript is spliced from 6 exons. Lineage: Eukaryota; Metazoa; Chordata; Aves; Galliformes; Phasianidae.